Long non-coding RNA from Rhodamnia argentea, 148 nucleotides. RefSeq lists it as uncharacterized. The transcript has 3 exons. NCBI's taxonomy places the organism in Eukaryota, Viridiplantae, Streptophyta, Magnoliopsida, Myrtales, Myrtaceae. The record is from RefSeq and is a predicted model, not a curated record.
CUCUCUCUCUCUCUCUCUCUCUCUCUCUCUUCCACACACACACAUAUAUAAUCAACUCAAGAUGCGAAACCCACCACAAUCCAUAUGUGCAAUGGGUAUGUACAAAGAUGAUACCGCUUCCAGUUGAUCGCAACAAUGAUACUGAAAC